This 996-nucleotide unclassified non-coding RNA is filed under the name Hevea brasiliensis (rubber tree). The record is from RNAcentral. Lineage: Eukaryota; Viridiplantae; Streptophyta; Magnoliopsida; Malpighiales; Euphorbiaceae.
AAAAAUUUAUGUACCUUUUAUUGUAGAAAAAAGAGUAAAAUAGAAAAAUAAUUUAAUAAUUCAAUGUAAUAUACAAAUAAAAUAAAUUGUUCAUACUAUAUAUAUGUAUGUUUGUAUGCUUUUGUUGUAAAGGAAUUGCAAAUUUUAGAUGUGGUCCACUUGUAACACCGCGCCCCACCAAAAAAGAAGCUUUGUGGUGCCAGGUUCAAGUCCUGGCACCACCUAAAAUUUCUUCAUUUUUUUAGUUGAGUUGGAAGGCUGGUUUGAGUUGGAAACUCGUUUAAGACCUGGCCAGAUUUCUGAUUCGCUGGUUACCCGCCUGGUUCACAUCGGUUUUCUGUAAAUGAGGGCUUGAUACUUAAACUGGACUGGACCAAGUACUAGUGGGAUAUUAAACCAGUCUGACCAGCCGGUCCAGUCCGGUUCUGAUAACCAUGCUUUAGAUUUACUAAUAAACGGGCACUUCUGGCCCUGACUAUAGAAUUAUGAUUUUUUUUUACUGUACUUUAGUCACUGACCUCCUGACGUUUUUAAUUAGAUUAUACUUUGGUUCUUAAGGUUUGAACUUGCACUCUAGUCUCUGAAUUAUUACUAUAUAAAACACUUAGAUCCUUCAAAAUCCUGCUUUUCUCAGUAAUAACAAUAAAGGAACUAGAAGUGCUAAUUUUCAGUAGGGACCAAAUUAUAGAUUACAGCAAAUCUCAGGGUUUAUUAAUACCCAUCCCACUGAAAAGUUGGGUAUUUAUAUUAUUUUGUUUUGUGUAGAUUUGUUAUUUUAUUUUAUCUAGUUUGUAACUUGGGGAUCCUGGGUUAACAUGUAUUCUCGUGAGCAACUAAAAAUACAAUAGGUUUUGCUUGAUGUUAUUUCUUUUCAGGCAUUGAUGUGGUGGACACUCAUGUUCAGCAGGUUAUAGAAUUAGAAACUAAUUUCAAUAUUAAACUGUAUGACAGGUUUUACUAGCAACUGGGGGCGGCCACUUAGUCUAUCUGGAAAUU